RNAcentral lists this ribosomal RNA (484 nucleotides) under uncultured bacterium. RNAcentral describes it as "partial 16S ribosomal RNA". It matches the Rfam family "Bacterial small subunit ribosomal RNA", at positions 30 to 507 of the family's 1533-position model. The record is from RNAcentral.
AUUGAACGCUGGCGGCAGGCCUAACACAUGCAAGUCGAGCGGAUGAAGGGAGCUUGCUCCUGGAUUCAGCGGCGGACGGGUGAGUAAUGCCUAGGAAUCUGCCUGGUAGUGGGGGAUAACGUCCGGAAACGGGCGCUCAUACCGCAUACGUCCUGAGGGAGAAAGUGGGGGAUCUUCGGACCUCACGCUAUCAGAUGAGCCUAGGUCGGAUUAGCUAGUUGGUGGGGUAAAGGCCUACCAAGGCGACGAUCCGUAACUGGUCUGAGAGGAUGAUCAGUCACACUGGAACUGAGACACGGUCCAGACUCCUACGGGAGGCAGCAGUGGGGAAUAUUGGACAAUGGGCGAAAGCCUGAUCCAGCCAUGCCGCGUGUGUGAAGAAGGUCUUCGGAUUGUAAAGCACUUUAAGUUGGGAGGAAGGGCAGUAAGUUAAUACCUUGCUGUUUUGACGUUACCAACAGAAUAAGCACCGGCUAACCUCGUG